Molecule: long non-coding RNA, 3003 nt
Filed under: Sus scrofa (pig)
Lineage: Eukaryota; Metazoa; Chordata; Mammalia; Artiodactyla; Suidae
Description: lncRNA (ENSSSCG00050022244.1)
Source: RNAcentral
CCUUGAACACCUCCUCCUUUUGGAACUUUGCAUUCGAAGGCGCUGUGAGAGGCGAUUUCUGCCAUAAGCCACAUUAUCUCUGAUGAUCCAUUCCCGUCUCUUCCAUUGUGAGUGGAAGUGCAGAAAAAAACAAGGUCAUAACUCAGAGAAAGAGGCUGGAGCCAUCUCAUAAAACCCAACUAUUCUGAACAGGAAAUCCACAAAUGCCGAGAGCCCGUUCCAUGUGCAAACUGUCCAAGGAAGGCUAAGUAAAAGCAUGACCUUCACUCCCACAAUCUUCUCUGAAGCGUGUGUUUUGUUAACUAUACCAGUUGCAUGCAGGAUUCCCUCCUCUUAUUUUUGUUAGACAACAAUUAUAUGCUGGGUCAUGUGUGGUGCAUUUAUCCCUUGAUUUAUUUUUCCUAUUAGAUAUUUUGCUACCCAUGGGGCAUGAGCAUGACACUGUUUGCCGAAUUAAAAAUCGAGAUGUCACACAAAAUCCAGAUAUCCAAAAUCACUUAAAAUUUUUUUGAAGAUCCCGUCACCCACAUCCCCAUGUGUCAACAGCUGCCUCCCACAGAUGGAACAUUCGCUUCCAGUCGGUUCCUCUGCACAUCCCCCCUUGUUCUCACACCAGACCACCCUCAUUUGACAUUGACUCAACUCUAAUCUUUUACUUCCUGUCCUGGCUUUCUGCCUAAAAUAACUCCUCACAACCCAAUACUUAUGGUAAAACAGUCUUAUUGAAGUGCACGCAGGUCAUAAACUGUCAAAAUCUAAAGCCCCUUUGAUGGUAAUAUUUCAUUUUCACCUAGUUACCAAGAUUACACUAUCACAUAUUUUUUCCCUCAAUAUUAAUAAGCAACGCAGGAAUUAUACAAGUGGUUGAUGUGCAAUUGCCCUAACUUCUCUUUCUAGAUAGUCUUGCUUCUGUUUCCUAUUAGUGAAAGAAAAUCCCUCCUAAUCACAUCCUGCUUCAAACUACAUAACAUCACAAGACAGCCUCUGAAAUUAUAAUUGUUUCAGUAUCCUUAUUUUUCAGCAACUUCAAUAACUCUCCAAAAUAUAAUCAAAUAAGGGACUUAACUUUUUUUUUUCCCUUUUUAGGGCCACACCCAUGGCAUAUGGAAGUUCCCAGGCUAGGGGUCCAAUCGGAGCUAUGGCUGCUGGGCCACACCACGGCCACAGCAACAUGGGAUCUGAGCCACAUCUGUGACCUACACCCUGGCUCAUGGCAAUACUGGAUCCCCGACUCACUGAAAUGAAGCCAGGGAUUGCACCCACAUCCUCAUGGAUACGAGUUGGGUGUAUUAGCUGCAUCACACGGGGGAACUCCCAAGGGAAUUAAGUCUUUUAUCUUUUUGUUAUUGUUUGAACUGUGAAGCAGAGGUCUUUCUGGGUUUUUGGUUCUGGUGCAUUUCAGAAAGUAAGUUAUUCAGUUAGUCAGGUAGUUUUAAGUUUUAUAUUACCAGUACAACUCUAAUUUUCUUAUACAAUUACCUACUUACAAUAGGUUUCAUGAAAAAAGACAUGUAACAAGCAUCUAAUUUUAUACUGCUGGCCUAUUUGCAUUGUUUUAGUCAGUCUGGCAGACUUUAUAGAACAAAGUGAAACCUCACCCUAAAAUUUUUGACACUUAAAUAGUCAAAAUAUACUAGAUUUUUUUCUCUGCCAAAAAUCUCUGUGCUAAUGUUCUAAUGCAGUUGAGCUGUGGGAAAGAAUACACGCAGCUUUUGCUCAAAACGAUUCAAGAAAUCAUUUAAAAUUAAUUUCUCACCAAAGACUAGAGAAGAAUCUCUCAAGAAUUCUUCAGAAGCACAUGGAAAAUUUUCAUGACCCUCUGCAGGGUAUAAAACAAUAUUUAAAAAGUCAUUGAGGGAGUUCCCGUUGUGGCUCAGUGGUUAGCGAAUCCGACUAGGAACCAUGAGGUUUCGGGUUCAAUCCCUGGCCUUGCUCAGUGGGUCAAGGAUCCAGCAUUGCCACCUUAUCAAUGCCCUAGAAGGCCCCUCCUGCCCUUUAUGGACAAUGCCACCCUUAAGGAUAACCACUAUUAUGACUUCAUAGAGUAUACUUUUGAUGCAAAGAAUUUUAUUUGCAUAGGUUCUAAAUAUGAUUGAAUGUUUUUCAAUGUUUCUAAAUGCUAUAGCAACAAACAGUAAUAAUCAAUGAACAUUUAAAAUCAUUUAAAAUUGUAUUUUAAUUGUAUUUCACAGAAUACCUUGCUUCUUUUUCUACAUUGCAUUUAUUUAUUUAUUUUCGAACCCACAACCUCAUGCAGAAGUUCCCAGGCCAGGGAUCAAACCCAUGCCACAGCAGUAACCAGAGCCACAGCAGUGACAAUGCCAGAUCUUUGACCCACUGAGCUGCAUGAGAACUUCUGCAUCCUUUUUUUUUUUUUUUGCUUUUUAGGGCUGCACCGGUGACAUAUGGAUGUUCUCAGGCUAGGCGUCCAAUCAGAGCUAUAGCUGCCGGCCUAUGUCACAGCCACAGCAACAUCAGAUCCGAGUCACAUCUGCAAUCUACACCACAGCUCAUCACAACACCAGAUCCUUAACCCACUGGGUGAGGCCAGGGAUCGAACCUGAAACCUCAUGGUUCCCAGUUGGAUUUGUUUCCGCUGUGCCACGAUGGGAUCUCUACUCCUGUACCCUUUUUAUUUAUUUAAAAAUGUUAAAAAAAAUUUUUUUUUUUUUGUCUUUUGCCUCCAUAUGCCNUGCGUGGAGGUUCCCAUGCUAAGGGUUGAAUCAGAGCUGUAGCUGCCCCUGCCACAGCCACAGCAAUGCCAGAUCCAAGCUGCGUCUGCAACCUACACCACAGCUCACGGCAAUGCCGGAUCCUUAACCCACUGAAUGAGGCCACGGAUUGAACCUGCGUGCACAUGGAUACUAGUCAGAUUCGUUUCUGAUAAGCCACGACAGGAACUCCUCCCACAUCCUUUUUUAAAAAGUUAUUGUUUUAUUCGUCUUCAUUUUCCAACAUGAAUCUUUGGUCUAUACUUGAGAUCUCUGCUUUCCAUUUUGGCUA